This 251-nucleotide ribosomal RNA is filed under the name uncultured Actinomyces sp. Its description in RNAcentral is "partial 16S ribosomal RNA". It matches the Rfam family "Bacterial small subunit ribosomal RNA", at positions 90 to 339 of the family's 1533-position model. Lineage: Bacteria; Bacillati; Actinomycetota; Actinomycetes; Actinomycetales; Actinomycetaceae. The record is from RNAcentral.
GAUUAGUGGCGAACGGGUGAGUAACACGUGAGUAACCUGCCCUCUUCUUUGGGAUAACGGUCGGAAACGGCUGCUAAUACUGGAUAUUCACUCAUUGGCGCAUGUUGGUGGGUGGAAAGGUUUUUUCUGGUGGGGGAUGGGCUCGCGGCCUAUCAGCUUGUUGGUGGGGUGAUGGCCUACCAAGGCUUUGACGGGUAACCGGCCUGAGAGGGUGACCGGCCAGAUUGGGACUGAGACACGGCCCAGACUCC